UACGAAGGUGGCGAGCGUUGUUCGGAAUCAUUGGGCGUAAAGGGCGCGUAGGCGGGCUUGUAAGUCGGUUGUGAAAUCCCUAGGCUUAACCUGGGAAUUGCAUUCGAAACUGCAAGUCUUGAGUUCUCGAGAGGAUGGUGGAAUUCCUGGAGUAGUAGUGAAAUACGUAGAUAUCAGGAGGAACACCGGAGGCGAAGGCGGCCAUCUGGCGAGACACUGACGCUAAGGCGCGAAAGCGUGGGUAGCAAACAGG
Molecule: ribosomal RNA, 253 nt
Filed under: uncultured bacterium
Lineage: Bacteria
Description: partial 16S ribosomal RNA
Rfam family: Bacterial small subunit ribosomal RNA
Source: RNAcentral